RNAcentral lists this ribosomal RNA (493 nucleotides) under uncultured bacterium. Its description in RNAcentral is "bacterial SSU rRNA". It matches the Rfam family "Bacterial small subunit ribosomal RNA", at positions 903 to 1397 of the family's 1533-position model. The record is from RNAcentral.
AAAUGAAUUGACGGGGACCCGCACAAGCGGUGGAGCAUGUGGUUUAAUUCGAAGCAACGCGAAGAACCUUACCUGGUCUUGACAUCCCGAUGAAUAAAGUGUAAUGGCUUUAGUACUUCGGUACAUUGGAGACAGGUGGUGCAUGGUUGUCGUCAGCUCGUGUCGUGAGAUGUUGGGUUAAGUCCCGCAACGAGCGCAACCCUUAUCUUUAGUAGCCAGCAGUAAGAUGGGCACUCUAGAGAGACUGCCGGGGAUAACCCGGAGGAAGGUGGGGAUGACGUCAAAUCAUCAUGCCCCUUAUGACCAGGGCUACACACGUGCUACAAUGGCGUAAACAAAGGGAAGCGAAAUGGUGACAUGGAGCAAAUCCCAAAAAUAACGUCCCAGUUCGGAUUGUAGUCUGCAACUCGACUACAUGAAGCUGGAAUCGCUAGUAAUCGCGAAUCAGCAUGUCGCGGUGAAUACGUUCCCGGGUCUUGUACACACCGCCCGU